AUUAGCGGUUCUCAUCAUAUGUGAGUAGAGCGCUUAGCGUGGGACGCUAUUAUAGCCUGGGAGGCAACCGAUCGGUAUAUAUAUAUUUAUUGUUAGCUAGCCAUUAUUUAGCGGUCCUCAUCAUAUGAGAGUUGAGCGCUUAGCGUGGGACGCUAUUAUAACUUUUUAAGCGGUCCUCAUCAUAUGUGAGUAAAGCGCUUAGCGUGGGACGCUAUUAUAGCCUAGGAGGCUCAUUGUUUUGGUGAAACAUCUUCCCUAUUUUUAUUGAUUUAUUGGGAACCAAUGGGAUUGGUUCAUUAGUUUUGUCUAUAAUUAUUUUCGGAAAGAUUUCCAAGAAUGGCAUGCAUAAAAUAAAUAUUUUCUCAAUGGAAAAUAUGGGAAAAGCGUUAAAUUGAUUUCAAUGCUCUAUCAUUAAGUCCGUAUUUUUAUUAUUUAUUUUUGUCCACUCACUCUAACGUUUUAAAUGCUUUCCCUUGGGCCUUUCGUUUUAAAUGCCCAGUCUGCAGAGUUCUGU
RNAcentral lists this long non-coding RNA (514 nucleotides) under Fragaria vesca (wild strawberry). RNAcentral's name for it is "long non-coding RNA (FVES_LNC000986)". Lineage: Eukaryota; Viridiplantae; Streptophyta; Magnoliopsida; Rosales; Rosaceae. The record is from RNAcentral.